Molecule: unclassified non-coding RNA, 346 nt
Filed under: soil metagenome
Description: partial contains 5.8S ribosomal RNA, internal transcribed spacer 2, and large subunit ribosomal RNA
Rfam family: 5.8S ribosomal RNA (bases 1-120)
Source: RNAcentral
GAUGAAGAACGUAGCGAAAUGCGAUAAGUAGUGUGAAUUGCAGACUUUAGUGAAUCAUCGAAUCUUUGAACGCACAUUGCGCCCGCUGGUAUUCCGGCGGGCAUGCCUGUUCGAGCGUCAUUUCAACCCUCAAGCCCCCGGGUUUGGUGUUGGGGAUCGGCUCUGCCCUUCUGGGCGGUGCCGCCCCCGAAAUACAUUGGCGGUCUCGCUGCAGCCUCCAUUGCGUAGUAGCUAACACCUCGCAACUGGAACGCGGCGCGGCCAUGCCGUAAAACCCCAACUUCUGAAUGUUGACCUCGGAUCAGGUAGGAAUACCCGCUGAACUUAAGCAUAUCAAUAAGCGGAA